GUUGGUGGAGUGAUUUGUCUGGUUAAUUCCGUUAACGAACGAGACCUCAGCCUGCUAACUAGUAGUGCCUAUCCUUUGGUCGCAGCUGGCCGCCGUAUCUUAUGCGGCUCGGUUCUUGGCCGUUGUCUCCGCCUCGUUGCGUGAGGCGCGGCUGGCCGGUCGUUCGGCGUGUCGGCGGGCCUUUCGGGAUAGGUCCUGCGUCGUCGGGCUCGUUCCCGGCGCGCGAUUCGACUUCUUAGAGGGACUAUCUGUGUGUAGCAGAUGGAAGUUUGAGGCAAUAACAGGU
This 286-nucleotide ribosomal RNA is filed under the name uncultured eukaryote. RNAcentral's name for it is "partial small subunit ribosomal RNA". It matches the Rfam family "Eukaryotic small subunit ribosomal RNA", at positions 1297 to 1461 of the family's 1831-position model. The record is from RNAcentral.